GACGAACGCUGGCGGCGUGCUUAACACAUGCAAGUCGAACGGAAAGGCCCUGCUUUUGUGGGGUGCUCGAGUGGCGAACGGGUGAGUAACACGUGAGUAACCUGCCCUUGACUUUGGGAUAACUUCAGGAAACUGGGGCUAAUACCGGAUAGGAGCUCCUGCUGCAUGGUGGGGGUUGGAAAGUUUCGGCGGUUGGGGAUGGACUCGCGGCUUAUCAGCUUGUUGGUGAGGUAGUGGCUUACCAAGGCUUUGACGGGUAGCCGGCCUGAGAGGGUGACCGGCCACAAUGGGACUGAGAUACGGACCAGACUCCUACGGGAGGCAGCAGUGGGGAAUAUUGCACAGUGGGCGGAAGCCUGAUGCAGCGACGCCGCGUGCGGGAUGCCGGCCUUCGGGGUGUAAACCGCUUUCGCCUGUGACGAAGCGUGAGUGACGGUAAUGGGUAAAGAAGCACCGGCUAACUACGUG
RNAcentral lists this ribosomal RNA (468 nucleotides) under uncultured bacterium. RNAcentral describes it as "partial 16S ribosomal RNA". It matches the Rfam family "Bacterial small subunit ribosomal RNA", at positions 28 to 507 of the family's 1533-position model. The record is from RNAcentral.